CACUGCUAUCGGUGUUCGAUUAAGCCAUGCGAGUCGAGAGGCGUCAAGGCCUCGGCGUACUGCUCAGUAACACGUGGACAACCUGCCCAAAGGUCCGGGAUAACCCCGGGAAACUGGGGAUAAUACCGGAUAAGUCACAGGUACUGGAAGGUCUUGUGGUUGAAACUUCCGGGGCCUUUGGAUGGGUCUGCGGCGGAUUAGGUUGUUGCCGGUGUAACGUACCGUCAAGCCUGUAAUCCGUACGGGUUGUGGGAGCAAGAGCCCGGAGAUGGAUUCUGAGACACGAAUCCAGGCCCUACGGGGCGCAGCAGGCGCGAAAACUCUACAAUGCAGGCAACUGCGAUAGGGGAACAUCGAGUGAUACUCAUCUUGGGUGUCUGUCCCACCGUCUAAAAAACGGUGGUUAGCAAGGGCCGGGCAAGACCGGUGCCAGCCGCCGCGGUAAUACCGGCGGCUCGAGUGGUGGCCGAUAUUAUUGAGUCUAAAGGGUCCGUAGCCGGCUUUGCAAGUCUUUUGGGAAAUCCAGCGGCUUAACCGUUGGUCGUCCGGGAGAUACUACAUUGCUUGGGACUGGGAGAGGUAGGAGGUACUCAGGGGGUAGGAGUGAAAUCCUGUAAUCCUUUGGGGACCACCGGUGGCGAAGGCGUUCUACCAGAACAGGUCCGACGGUGAGGGACGAAAGCUAGGGGCACGAACCGGAUUAGAUACCCGGGUAGUCCUAGCCGUAAACGAUGCUCGCUAGGUGUCACAACAAUCGUGAAUUGUUGUGGUGCCGUAGGGAAGCCGUGAAGCGAGCCACUUGGGAAGUACGACC
This 814-nucleotide ribosomal RNA is filed under the name uncultured methanogenic archaeon. RNAcentral's name for it is "bacterial SSU rRNA". It matches the Rfam family "Archaeal small subunit ribosomal RNA", at positions 25 to 842 of the family's 1478-position model. Lineage: Archaea; Methanobacteriati; Methanobacteriota. The record is from RNAcentral.